Molecule: transfer RNA, 64 nt
Filed under: Macrocheles nataliae
Lineage: Eukaryota; Metazoa; Arthropoda; Arachnida; Mesostigmata; Macrochelidae
Description: tRNA-Ala
Source: RNAcentral
AGAUAUAUAUUUAAAAAUUAUAAAAUCUAAUUUGCAAUUAGAAAUUGCUAAAAAGCUUUAUCUG